RNAcentral lists this ribosomal RNA (424 nucleotides) under uncultured prokaryote. RNAcentral's name for it is "bacterial SSU rRNA". It matches the Rfam family "Bacterial small subunit ribosomal RNA", at positions 355 to 796 of the family's 1533-position model. The record is from RNAcentral.
UGGGGAAUCUUGCACAAUGGGCGAAAGCCUGAUGCAGCCAUGCCGCGUGAGUGAAGAAGGCCCUAGGGUUGUAAAGCUCUUUCAGUAGUGAAGAUAAUGACGGUAACUACAGAAGAAGCCCCGGCUAACUUCGUGCCAGCAGCCGCGGUAAUACGAAGGGGGCUAGCGUUGUCCGGAAUUACUGGGCGUAAUGAGCACGUAGGCGGACUGAUAAGUUGAGGGUCAAAGCCCAGGGCCCAACCCUGGAACCGCCUUCAAAACUGUCAGUCUUGAGAACGGAAGAGGUGAGCGGAAUUCCUAGUGAAGAGGGGAAAUUCGUAGAUAUUAGGAAGAACACCGGUGGCGAAGGCGGCUCACUGGUCCGAUACUGACGCUGAGGUGCGAAAGCGUGGGGAGCAAACAGGAUUAGAUACCCCUGUAGUCC